GACGAACGCUGGCGGCGUGCUUAACACAUGCAAGUCGAACGAAGAGCGACGGAAGCUUGCUUCUAUCAAUCUUAGUGGCGAACGGGUGAGUAACGCGUAAUCAACCUGCCCUUCAGAGGGGGACAACAGAUGGAAACGACUGCUAAUACCGCAUACGAUCUAACCUCGGCAUCGAGGUAAGAUGAAAGGUGGCAUCUACAUGUAAUCUAUCACUGAAGGAGGGGAUUGCGUCUGAUUAGCUAGUUGGCGGGGUAACGGCUCACCAAGGCGAUGAUCAGUAGCCGGUCUGAGAGGAUGAACGGCCACAUUGGGACUGAGACGCGGCCCAGACUCCUACGGGAGGCAGCAGUGGGGAAUCUUCCGCAAUGGACGAAAGUCUGACGGAGCAACGCCGCGUGAGUGAUGACGGUCUUCGGGUUGUAAAGCUCUGUUAUUCGGGACGAAAGGGCUUCUUGCGAAUAGUGAGAAGGAUUGACGGUACCGGAAUAGAAAGCCACGGCUAACUACGUG
This 510-nucleotide ribosomal RNA is filed under the name uncultured bacterium. Its description in RNAcentral is "partial 16S ribosomal RNA". It matches the Rfam family "Bacterial small subunit ribosomal RNA", at positions 28 to 507 of the family's 1533-position model. The record is from RNAcentral.